Hibiscus syriacus is the source of this 632-nucleotide long non-coding RNA. RefSeq lists it as uncharacterized. The transcript is spliced from 5 exons. The record is from RefSeq and is a predicted model, not a curated record. NCBI's taxonomy places the organism in Eukaryota, Viridiplantae, Streptophyta, Magnoliopsida, Malvales, Malvaceae.
UCUCUCCAUCUUUUGUCACUGCCAUAUCAGUAGCUCCUCCUGUAGUACCAACAGUCGCAAAUGUGUCUUACAUACCAGUCAACUCACCUAUGGUAGCUGUUGCUGGUUCUCAUCCAGAGGUUGGAAUGGGCACUUUUGCGCCUCGUUCCUCUACGCCUUCUAAGUUUGUCUCUUAUGGUAACAUAUCAGCUGCAACUGGUGUCAGUUGUUCUCAGUUUUCUCAACCUAUUGUUGGGCAUAUGGGAAAUAGAACCCAGCCACUUAGAUACGCUGGUCAAUAUCAUCCUGUUCAGGCUGCAACGGCAUAUUUGAAUCCAAACUCACAGCAGUUAUGUUUGGACAUGGACAGCUGAUUUGCUUACCUGUUUUUCAUGAUUUGGUUCCAAGUGCAGCAGCUAUCUUCCCGGAACCCGCAGGCCUUCCGUUGAAUCCACACCAUGUCCAAUAUCCAAAACACCAAGGUAAUGCGGCGGGCCACGCAUUGCAGCUUUGUGUACCUCAACCUUUCAUCGGCGGCGGACAAGCACCAAUGGCGAUGCCAAGCCAUAUUCCAUAUUUGCAAGCUGCUUUCCCGGUUAGUCGUCCCCUACAAAUCCCUGGUUCUAAUGCACUAUUUAGCACCAACCUUCCAU